RNAcentral lists this ribosomal RNA (139 nucleotides) under Trametes sanguinea. RNAcentral's name for it is "5.8S ribosomal RNA". It matches the Rfam family "5.8S ribosomal RNA", at positions 1 to 136 of the family's 154-position model. From Rfam's summary of the family: 5.8S ribosomal RNA (5.8S rRNA) is a component of the large subunit of the eukaryotic ribosome. It is transcribed by RNA polymerase I as part of the 45S precursor that also contains 18S and 28S rRNA. Functionally, it is thought that 5.8S rRNA may be involved in ribosome translocation. Lineage: Eukaryota; Fungi; Basidiomycota; Agaricomycetes; Polyporales; Polyporaceae. The record is from RNAcentral.
UACAACUUUCAGCAACGGAUCUCUUGGCUCUCGCAUCGAUGAAGAACGCAGCGAAAUGCGAUAAGUAAUGUGAAUUGCAGAAUUCAGUGAAUCAUCGAAUCUUUGAACGCACCUUGCGCUCCUUGGUAUUCCGAGGAGC